RNAcentral lists this ribosomal RNA (253 nucleotides) under uncultured prokaryote. Its description in RNAcentral is "partial 16S ribosomal RNA". It matches the Rfam family "Bacterial small subunit ribosomal RNA", at positions 525 to 777 of the family's 1533-position model. The record is from RNAcentral.
ACGUAGGUGGCAAGCGUUGUCCGGAUUUACUGGGCGUAAAGGGCGUGCAGGCGGUUUGUUUAGUCUAGGGUGAAAGCUCCCGGCUUAACUGGGAGAGGUCCUUGGAUACUGGCAAACUUGAGGGAGGCAGAGGAAAGUGGAAUUCCCGGUGUAGUGGUGAUAUGCGUAGAUAUCUGGAGGAAUACCGGUGGCGAAGGCGGCAUCCUGGACCGGCAUUGACGCUGAUGAGCGAAAGCCAGGGGAGCAAACGGGA